CGGGCACAGCGGGAAGCCAGGUGGUGACACCGAGCAGAACCGAAAGCCGUUCUCAGUUCGGAUCGGAGUCUGCAACCCGACUCCGUGAAGCUGGAUUCGCUAGUAAUCGCGCAUCAGCCAUGGCGCGGUGAAUACGUUCCCGGGCCUUGUACACACCGCCCGUCAAGCCAUGGAAGCCGGGGGCGCUUGAAGUGCGUUGCCGCAAGGCGCGCCCUAGAGCGAAACCGGUGACUGGGGCUAAGUCGUAACAAGGUAUC
This 257-nucleotide ribosomal RNA is filed under the name uncultured bacterium. RNAcentral describes it as "partial 16S ribosomal RNA". It matches the Rfam family "Bacterial small subunit ribosomal RNA", at positions 1234 to 1500 of the family's 1533-position model. The record is from RNAcentral.